AGUGAACGCUGGCGGCAGGCCUAAUACAUGCAAGUCGAACGGCAGCACAGCAGAGCUUGCUCUGUGGGUGGCGAGUGGCGGACGGGUGAGGAAUACAUGGGAAUCUGCCCAGUCGUGGGGGAUAACGUAUGGAAACGUACGCUAAUACCGCAUGCGCCCUAAGGGGGAAAGCCGGGACCGCAAGGCCUGGCGCGAUUGGAUGAGCCCAUGUUCGAUUAGCUGGUUGGCGGGGUAAAGGCCCACCAAGGCGACGAUCGAUAGCUGGUCUGAGAGGAUGAUCAGCCACACUGGAACUGAGACACGGUCCAGACUCCUACGGGAGGCAGCAGUAGGGAAUAUUGGACAAUGGGGGCAACCCUGAUCCAGCCAUGCCGCGUGAGUGAAGAAGGCCCUCGGGUUGUAAAGCUCUUUUGUCCGGAAAGAAAAGCAUCUGGUUAAUACCCGGGUGUUCUGACGGUACC
Molecule: ribosomal RNA, 461 nt
Filed under: uncultured bacterium
Lineage: Bacteria
Description: bacterial SSU rRNA
Rfam family: Bacterial small subunit ribosomal RNA
Source: RNAcentral